This 350-nucleotide ribosomal RNA is filed under the name uncultured Streptococcus sp. RNAcentral's name for it is "bacterial SSU rRNA". It matches the Rfam family "Bacterial small subunit ribosomal RNA", at positions 1029 to 1382 of the family's 1533-position model. Lineage: Bacteria; Bacillati; Bacillota; Bacilli; Lactobacillales; Streptococcaceae. The record is from RNAcentral.
CGGUGACAGGUGGUGCAUGGUUGUCGUCAGCUCGUGUCGUGAGAUGUGGGUUAAGUCCCGCAACGAGCGCAACCCCUAUUGUUAGUUGCCAUCAUUCGGUUGGGCACUCUAGCGAGACUGCCGGUAAUAAACCGGAGGAAGGUGGGAUGACGUCAAAUCAUCAUGCCCCUUAUGACCUGGGCUACACACGUGCUACAAUGGUUGGUACAACGAGUUGCGAGUCGGUGACGGCGAGCUAAUCUCUUAAAGCUAAUCUCAGUUCGGAUUGUAGGCUGCAACUCGCCUACAUGAAGUCGGAAUCGCUAGUAAUCGCGGAUCAGCACGCCGCGGUGAAUACGUUCCCGGGCCUU